RNAcentral lists this ribosomal RNA (950 nucleotides) under Vibrio alginolyticus. RNAcentral's name for it is "bacterial SSU rRNA". It matches the Rfam family "Bacterial small subunit ribosomal RNA", at positions 387 to 1330 of the family's 1533-position model. Lineage: Bacteria; Pseudomonadati; Pseudomonadota; Gammaproteobacteria; Vibrionales; Vibrionaceae. The record is from RNAcentral.
UGCAGCCAUGCCGCGUGUGUGAAGAAGGCCUUCGGGUUGUAAAGCACUUCAGUCGUGAGGAAGGUAGUGUAGUUAAUAGCUGCAUUAUUUGACGUUAGCGACAGAAGAAGCACCGGCUAACUCCGUGCCAGCAGCCGCGGUAAUACGGAGGGUGCGAGCGUUAAUCGGAAUUACUGGGCGUAAAGCGCAUGCAGGUGGUUUGUUAAGUCAGAUGUGAAAGCCCGGGGCUCAACCUCGGAAUAGCAUUUGAAACUGGCAGACUAGAGUACUGUAGAGGGGGGUAGAAUUUCAGGUGUAGCGGUGAAAUGCGUAGAGAUCUGAAGGAAUACCGGUGGCGAAGGCGGCCCCCUGGACAGAUACUGACACUCAGAUGCGAAAGCGUGGGGAGCAAACAGGAUUAGAUACCCUGGUAGUCCACGCCGUAAACGAUGUCUACUUGGAGGUUGUGGCCUUGAGCCGUGGCUUUCGGAGCUAACGCGUUAAGUAGACCGCCUGGGGAGUACGGUCGCAAGAUUAAAACUCAAAUGAAUUGACGGGGGCCCGCACAAGCGGUGGAGCAUGUGGUUUAAUUCGAUGCAACGCGAAGAACCUUACCUACUCUUGACAUCCAGAGAACUUUCCAGAGAUGGAUUGGUGCCUUCGGGAACUCUGAGACAGGUGCUGCAUGGCUGUCGUCAGCUCGUGUUGUGAAAUGUUGGGUUAAGUCCCGCAACGAGCGCAACCCUUAUCCUUGUUUGCCAGCGAGUAAUGUCGGGAACUCCAGGGAGACUGCCGGUGAUAAACCGGAGGAAGGUGGGGACGACGUCAAGUCAUCAUGGCCCUUACGAGUAGGGCUACACACGUGCUACAAUGGCGCAUACAGAGGGCGGCCAACUUGCGAAAGUGAGCGAAUCCCAAAAAGUGCGUCGUAGUCCGGAUUGGAGUCUGCAACUCGACUCCAUGAANUNGNA